GAUGAACGCUGGCGGCGUGCUUAACACAUGCAAGUCGAACGGAAAGGCCCAAGCUUGCUUGGGUACUCGAGUGGCGAACGGGUGAGUAACACGUGGGUGAUCUGCCCUGCACUUCGGGAUAAGCCUGGGGAACUGGGUCUAAUACCGGAUAGGACGAUGGUUUGGAUGCCAUUGUGGAAAGUUUUUUCGGUGUGGGAUGAGCUCGCGGCCUAUCAGCUUGUUGGUGGGGUAAUGGCCUACCAAGGCGUCGACGGGUAGCCGGCCUGAGAGGGUGUACGGCCACAUUGGGACUGAGAAACGGCCCAGACUCCUACGGGAGGCAGCAGUGGGGAAUAUUGCACAAUGGGCGCAAGCCUGAUGCAGCGACGCCGCGUGGGGGAUGACGGCCUUCGGGUUGUAAACUCCUUUCGCUAGGGACGAAGCGUUUUUGUGACGGUACCUGGAGAAGAAGCACCGGCUAACUACGUG
Molecule: ribosomal RNA, 468 nt
Filed under: uncultured bacterium
Lineage: Bacteria
Description: partial 16S ribosomal RNA
Rfam family: Bacterial small subunit ribosomal RNA
Source: RNAcentral